UGGGGAAUAUUGCACAAUGGGCGCAAGCCUGAUGCAGCCAUGCCGCGUGUAUGAAGAAGGCCUUCGGGUUGUAAAGUACUUUCAGCGGGGAGGAAGGCGAUAAGGUUAAUAACCUUGUCGAUUGACGUUACCCGCAGAAGAAGCACCGGCUAACUCCGUGCCAGCAGCCGCGGUAAUACGGAGGGUGCAAGCGUUAAUCGGAAUUACUGGGCGUAAAGGGCACGCAGGGGGUCUGUCAAGUGGGAUGUGAAAUCCCCGGGCUCAACCUGGGAACUGCAUUCGAAACUGGCAGGCUAGAGUCUUGUAGAGGGGGGUAGAAUUCCAGGUGUAGCGGUGAAAUGCGUAGAGAUCUGGAGGAAUACCGGUGGCGAAGGCGGCCCCCUGGACAAAGACUGACGCUCAGGUGCGAAAGCGUGGGGAGCAAACA
RNAcentral lists this ribosomal RNA (427 nucleotides) under uncultured bacterium. RNAcentral describes it as "partial 16S ribosomal RNA". It matches the Rfam family "Bacterial small subunit ribosomal RNA", at positions 355 to 774 of the family's 1533-position model. The record is from RNAcentral.